Molecule: ribosomal RNA, 640 nt
Filed under: uncultured Lachnospiraceae bacterium
Lineage: Bacteria; Bacillati; Bacillota; Clostridia; Lachnospirales; Lachnospiraceae
Description: bacterial SSU rRNA
Rfam family: Bacterial small subunit ribosomal RNA
Source: RNAcentral
UUGAGACUUCGGUGGAUUUGAUCUAUUUCUAGUGGCGGACGGGUGAGUAACGCGUGGGUAACCUGCCUUAUACAGGGGGAUAACAGUCAGAAAUGGCUGCUAAUACCGCAUAAGCGCACAGAGCUGCAUGGCUCAGUGUGAAAAACUCCGGUGGUAUAAGAUGGACCCGCGUUGGAUUAGCUAGUUGGUGGGGUAACGGCCCACCAAGGCGACGAUCCAUAGCCGGCCUGAGAGGGUGAACGGCCACAUUGGGACUGAGACACGGCCCAGACUCCUACGGGAGGCAGCAGUGGGGAAUAUUGCACAAUGGGGGAAACCCUGAUGCAGCGACGCCGCGUGAAGGAAGAAGUAUCUCGGUAUGUAAACUUCUAUCAGCAGGGAAGAUAGUGACGGUACCUGACUAAGAAGCCCCGGCUAACUACGUGCCAGCAGCCGCGGUAAUACGUAGGGGGCAAGCGUUAUCCGGAUUUACUGGGUGUAAAGGGAGCGUAGACGGUGUGGCAAGUCUGAUGUGAAAGGCAUGGGCUCAACCUGUGGACUGCAUUGGAAACUGUCAUACUUGAGUGCCGGAGGGGUAAGCGGAAUUCCUAGUGUAGCGGUGAAAUGCGUAGAUAUUAGGAGGAACACCAGUGGCGAAGGC